CGGUCGGAAACGACCGCUAAUACCGAAUGCGAUGGCGCAGGGCAUCCUGCGUCUAUCAAAGCGGGGGAUCGAAAGACCUCGCGGUUCGAGAGAGGCCCAUGCGAUAUCAGCUUGUUGGUGAGGUAACGGCUCACCAAGGCUAAGACGUCUAGGCGGAUUGAGAGAUUGACCGCCAACACCGGGACUGAGAACUGCCCGGACUCCUACGGGAGGCUGCAGUCGAGAAUCUUUCGCAAUGGGCGCAAGCCUGACGAAGCGACGCCGUGUGUGUGAUGAAGGCUCUCGGGUUGUAAAGCACUUUCGCCCCCGAACAAGAGAAUUCGGCUAAUAUCCGAACAAUUUGAGAGUACGGGGUAAAGAAGCACCGGCUAACUACGUGCCAGCAGCUGCGGUAAUACGUAGGGUGCAAGCAUUAAUCGGAUUUAUUGGGCGUAAAGGGCGCGUAGGCGGGAAGGUAAGUCGGAUGUGAAAUCCCGGGGCUCAACCCCGGAACGGCAUCCGAAACUGCUUUUCUUGAGGGUAGGCGGAGAAAACGGAAUUCCACAAGUAGCGGUGAAAUGCGUAGAUAUGUGGAAGAACACCGGUGGCGAAGGCGGUUUUCUAGCUUACACCUGACGCUGAUGCGCGAAAGCAAGGGGAGCAAACAGGAUUAGAUACCCUGGUAGUCCUUGCCGUAAACGAUGUAUACUUGGUGUAGCCGGAAUCAACCCCGGCUGUGCCGUAGCUAACGCGUUAAGUAUACCGCCUGGGGAGUACAGUCACAAGGCCGAAACUCAAAAGAAUUGACGGGGACCCGCACAAGCAGUGGAUCAUGUGGUUUAAUUCGAUCCACGCGAAGAACCUUACCCGGGCUUGACAUGCAGCGGACAGCGCAGGAAACUGCGCCUUCCUUCGGGACCGCUGCACAGGUGCUGCAUGGCUGUCGUCAGCUCGUGCCGUGAGGUGUUGGGUUAAGUCCCGCAACGAGCGCAACCCUUAUCGUUAGUUGCCAACAUUUCGGAUGGGAACUCUAACGAGACUGCCCGGGUUAACCGGGAGGAAGGUGAGGAUGACGUCAAGUCCGCAUGGCCCUUAUGUCCGGGGCUACACACGUGAUACAAUGGCCGGUACAAAAGGCAGCGAAACCGCGAGGCGAAGCCAAUCCCUAGAACCGGCCCCAGUUCGGACUGCAGUCUGCAACUCGACUGCAUGAAGAUGGAAUUGCUAGUAAUGGCGAGUCAGCUACACCGCCGUGAAUACGUUCCCGGGUCUUGUACACACCGCCCGUCACAUCAUGGGAGUCGGUUUUACCCGAAGCCGCCGACUUGACCGAAAGGAGAGAAGCGU
This 1326-nucleotide ribosomal RNA is filed under the name metagenome. RNAcentral describes it as "bacterial SSU rRNA". It matches the Rfam family "Bacterial small subunit ribosomal RNA", at positions 147 to 1456 of the family's 1533-position model. The record is from RNAcentral.